AGAUUGAACUGAAGAGUUUGAUCCUGGCUCAGAUUGAACGCUGGCGGCAUGCUUUACACAUGCAAGUCGAACGGCAGCACGGGCUUCGGCCUGGUGGCGAGUGGCGAACGGGUGAGUAAUACAUCGGAACGUACCCAGAAGUGGGGGAUAACGUAGCGAAAGUUACGCUAAUACCGCAUACGUUCUACGGAAGAAAGUGGGGGACCGCAAGGCCUCAUGCUUUUGGAGCGGCCGAUGUCUGAUUAGCUAGUUGGUGAGGUAAAGGCUCACCAAGGCGACGAUCAGUAGCUGGUCUGAGAGGACGACCAGCCACACUGGAACUGAGACACGGUCCAGACUCCUACGGGAGGCAGCAGUGGGGAAUUUUGGACAAUGGGCGCAAGCCUGAUCCAGCAAUGCCGCGUGAGUGAAGAAGGCCUUCGGGUUGUAAAGCUCUUUUGUCAGGGAAGAAACGGUAGGAGCUAAUAUCUCUUGCUAAUGACGGUACCUGAAGAAUAAGCACCGGCUAACUACGUGCCAGCAGCCGCGGUAAUACGUAGGGUGCAAGCGUUAAUCGGAAUUACUGGGCGUAAAGCGUGCGCAGGCGGUUUUGUAAGUCUGUCGUGAAAGCCCCGGGCUCAACCUGGGAAUUGCGAUGGAGACUGCAAGGCUUGAAUCUGGCAGAGGGGGGUAGAAUUCCACGUGUAGCAGUGAAAUGCGUAGAGAUGUGGAGGAACACCGAUGGCGAAGGCAGCCCCCUGGGUCAAGAUUGACGCUCAUGCACGAAAGCGUGGGGAGCAAACAGGAUUAGAUACCCUGGUAGUCCACGCCCUAAACGAUGUCUACUAGUUGUCGGGUUUUAAUUAACUUGGUAACGCAGCUAACGCGUGAAGUAGACCGCCUGGGGAGUACGGUCGCAAGAUUAAAACUCAAAGGAAUUGACGGGGACCCGCACAAGCGGUGGAUGAUGUGGAUUAAUUCGAUGCAACGCGAAAAACCUUACCUACCCUUGACAUGUCAGGAAGGCCG
Molecule: ribosomal RNA, 1008 nt
Filed under: Massilia sp. Mn16-1_5
Lineage: Bacteria; Pseudomonadati; Pseudomonadota; Betaproteobacteria; Burkholderiales; Oxalobacteraceae
Description: bacterial SSU rRNA
Rfam family: Bacterial small subunit ribosomal RNA
Source: RNAcentral